CUGGAAGACAAUAUCAAAGAAAUCGAUUUGUAGAUAAAGCAACAUUUCACAGCAACCGAUCCAUAACAGAAGCCAAAAAUCUCAUAAUUCGAACUGCAGACGAAGCCUAAAUUUGCUUCAAUUGAAGAGUUUCAAUUAGGUUUGGGCCAACUAAACAUAUGCAACAAAGGGAGGGAAUGAAUAAUUUUAGGGAUAAAAUUUUUGGAGGCAUAGAAAUCGUGGACGACAGGCAAAAUUUAAGAGAGGGAAUGAAAAAAUUUGGGGAAAACCUUGGAGCCAGAGAGUAGUGGUAACUUACGUAAUUUGAGGAAUUUUUAAUUUUGGAACAAAAAAAAAAAGGUGUUCUCUCUUUUUAUUUUUACUUAUGUUUUUAAGUUCAAAUAUACAUUUUGUGGGGAAUAAAAUUAAAAAUUGUAGUUGAAAAUUUUCCUUGAAUAUUAGCCUACAAAUAUGUUUGACAUUUUUUGUCGUCAAAAGAUAGAUUUUUCCAGUCAUAUUUUUUGUCAGGAAGAAAAAACAUUUUUGUGGGCACAAGUCUUUCUAGUAUUGAAAAAUUUGAAAUCAUAGCUUACAAAACAUCGAUUUUGUGGGGAAAAGUGAACUUUGACUACAAAUUUCAAUUUGUCAAUGAAAAUUUUGUAGGUAAAGGAUAGAUUUCUUGUAGUGUUACUUCCUCACACACCAUUCCUGAAAAUCAAGCAUUUGAUUUCAGGGACGGAGCCAAGAGAGUAGAGGUGUGGGGGGAAAAAUAAAAAAUUUCAAGAUUUUUAUUUAUUUAUUUUUCUUUGGAACAUCUUGUGUAAAAUUUUGAAAAAUCUAUUGCAAAAUCUUGGUUUUCAAAUUUAGUGUGAAUGCUUCUGAGUAUGUUAUUGAUUAGAUAAGGCAUUGAUUCAGAAAAGUUGGCAUGCGUGCCACGAUGGGUGAAGGUAGUUUGUUGAAUUUUAACUUCUCCCUCCUCGUUCUAUAAAUUGGUACAUUCACCUCCAACCUUCCAUCUUCAUUGACAACAGAAAACUUUGUAGGAAAUACGCUACAGUCAAACACAAAUUAGAGCAUCUUUGACCGAAUGGAAAAAACGAACUUACAAUUGAGGGUCUCGCAGCCUAUAAAACUGAUACAAAUUUAUAAAUACUUUAUAAAUUCAGUCAAAAUUAAACAUUAAUUUUAAAAGGAUUUACUUGUACAUAAAACACGUGCAUAAAGAAUUACAUAAAAUGAUGUAGAGGGAAAAGAUUGGAUGAAAAAGUUGAUUGCGUUUUAAACUGGUAAAUGAUAACGUGACAUGUGACAUUAUGUAACACAUUAUGUAAAUCUUGAUGUAUGUGUAGCAAAAUCCAUUUCAAAAAUAUAUUUAUAACCACUUCUUAUCAUUAUCCACACCUUUCGUGAUAUCGAUCACUAUUCCUCUUUAUAAAUCAUUUAUAAAUUUGUCGAAGGAGACUACCAUGGAAAUCUCUAAUAGAAUUACUUGGUUCUUUUGUUGGCGUGUAAUCUAAACCUAAAUCAGUUGACACUAAAAAAAGAAAUACAUAAACUUUUUUUCCAUUGUUUUUCAAGUUUUCAUGGGAAUGACUCGAAAAAAUAGCCUAUCUUCAUUCUCAUUGAAGCACAUUACAUCCACAUUUCACAAAUUAUAUCUUCUCAUAUUAAUGGGAUCUCCAAUCACGUGUCCUCCAUAGCUAAACACAGAAAUCCAAUUGUUAGCCGUGUAAAAUCAGUCUCAUUUUGACAAAACAAAAAAGAACAGAAAUUUGCCUUGUCGAAUGUUUUGGUUUUGAUCCUCCAAAAUUCAGUUUCGAGAAAAUUAAUAAUGUCUACAUUCACAGGCACUUUGGAUAAAUGCAAGGGUUGUGACAAGACUGUUUAUUUUGUUGAUUUGUUGUCUGCUGAUGGAACAACUUAUCAUAAAUCAUGCUUCAAAUGCUGCCAUUGCAAAGGAACUCUCGUGGUAUAUAUGUAUAUAUAUAUAUAUUCUCUCUUCACCCCAUUAUUUUAACAAUGAUCGUCAUGUAACAUUUUUUUUGUUUGUAGUUUAUAUGAUUUUCACUCAAUUAAAUUUUCGAAAACUUUUGUUUACAUUAGUGCUAUGUAAGUUUUAAUGGGAGGUAGCUUUCUAUACAAUAUUUCAUCAGCUUUUGAAAAUCAUUUUAGCAAAAUAAUUUUAAAAAUUGACGUAAUUGCAUUUCAUAUAGCUAUAAAUGUGUUAAUUUUUUAUACGCCGGGUUUAAAGAGAAGUCAUUUUUAACUAUGGAAUCGUCAUAUAAAAUGUCUACAAAUGUUAUUUUUGUAUUUGAGUCUUUCAGUUAAUUAUAUUAUAAAAAUUUAUGAGGUCUUUUAGUUUCAUCUCGAGUCAUUUAUUGUUCUUAAUACGUAGUUUUGUGAUUUUCCCUUCGUUAACUUUUUUCUUUUUCCCCAAAAAAUAACAGGAUAAACUUAAGUCAAAGCAAAUAGUGAAAUUUAUCAAAAUGUUGUUAUUGUUUUUAUUUCACAAAUCCAAGUCAUUUUGGGUGUGUAAUAUUCAUUUUGCAGAUGAGCAACUACUCCUCCAUGGAUGGAGUCCUAUAUUGCAAGCCACAUUUUGAACAACUUUUCAAGGAGUCUGGAAAUUUUAGCAAAAAUUUUCAAACUUGUGAGAAACCCUAAUAAUCACUAAAUUAUGUAGAACUUUCUUACUAUUAAUUUUACUAUUUUUGCUAAUUAUUCUUUUUUGUUGUUGGACUAUUGUUUAAGCAGCAAAGCAUGAGAGGGAAAAUUCACUGGUACGCUCAUGAAUUAAUUUCUAUUGAAAAUGGUUUGAUGACUAUUUCAAAACUUAAUUUUCAAGUUUAACUUAUUGGAAAAUCCUUUUUAUUUUUUUUUGAGUGUCAACUAAUCCAAACCUUGUUUUACCUCUUGUUUAUAAUCAGUGAAAUCAUUUUUUAUUCACAUAUUUCGUGAAUUCAUAAGUAUUACUCACUAAUUUACCACUAAUUUUUAUUUUUAAUUUAAAAUGACUACAAACAAUUUUUAAAUAUUAUUUCAUCUUUGACAAAAUAGGUUUACACUACUUAGUAUAUGCACUUGGCAAAUAAAGUCAACCUAAUUUCUUCUUCUUCCUUUUUUUUUUUUUUGUUUUUUUUUUUGUUUUUGGUAUUAUUCGUUAUUUAUGCAGACAAGGGCGCCGAGCAAGGUCUCGACCAUGUUCUCUGGAACCCAAGACAAAUGUGCUUCUUGUAACAAAAUUGUGUACCCACUUGAGAAGGUUUGUGACAUUGAUCAUGUACUCAAGAUACAUAUAUCUUAAGCUAUUAAAUAAAAUGAUUAGUCUGCCAUUAUAUAUAGCUUGUAACAUACGCAUUCACCUCCACGAAUAAAUACUCAUAAAAUUGAUAACGAUAAAUUCCUUCAUCUGCAAACUGUAUUUUCUAUCCAUUUUUUUCUUGAAUUUGCACAUACCAAACAGAUGACAAUGGAGGGAGAAUCAUACCACAAGUCAUGCUUCAAGUGUGCCCAUGGUGGCUGUCCACUCACACAUUCAUCAUAUGCUGCUCUUGAUGGAAUUCUAUACUGCAAGCACCAUUUCCAGCAGCUCUUCAUGGAGAAAGGAAACUACCAGCAUAUUAAAUCUGCUCACAAGAGAAGUGGCAGUAAUGUGGAAGCUGUCGAUGCUGACGCUGAGUCAGGGGCAGAGGCCGGGGAGGAGGAGCUGCCAAAGGAGGUUGUGGCAGACACUGAACCAGAGGAAGCUGAUAAAGUAGAAGAACAUUCCUAAGUGCAUGUUUGGUACAUUUCUAAGUGUAUGUUUGGUAGACAAUACUAGGUAGGACAAAGACACAAUAAUAAAUAAGGUGUUAUCUUAUUUUGUUCCUUAAUUUUGUCACUACUGUUAAAUCCUCUGUACCGAACAUGUCAUAAGCACACACGCUAAUAUAUAUAUCAGUUUAGGGUUUCUUACUUUGUUUAUGAGUUUAGAUGAAUUCUAGUGAUUUUUUAAGCUUGUUAAAAAUGUGGUGUAAUUUUGUCUAAACAAAAUAUAUAUUCUGAAACCGUAGGGAAACUAUAGUCCUCAAAAAAUUGAACUGGGCCAUAAGUAUUGUAUUUUGCAAAGCCUGAAACUUCAACUGAGAAUAAAUGAAAGACAAAAUAAAAAUAAAAAAUUUCCUUCAACUAGUCCUCCUAAAGUGCCCCGUCUCAAGGGGAGGGGAGUGGCUGGGGCAACACAGAGCCGGCAGGCCCUGGGAAUCAUGUACUUUUUAGGGUUCAUUGUGGUCAAAAGUAUUAGAACCUUAAAAGGUUAAGAAUUUAGAUGCUAUAAAUGGAAGUUGGAGACCAACUUGAUGCGAUUCUCCUAAAUUGAAAACUUUCUAGAAUUAUUGAUAAAUAUUAACUUAAUUAUACGCUAAUAUUUGCAUGCAAUUGUCUAAAUACUUAUUAAAAGAUUAGGUAGACGUGUAUAGUGGCUCAAUUUUUCUCAAGCUAAAUAGUCAGUUUAGAGUCUAAAAAUUUGAUUAUUGAGCCUUUGGAGAUUGUUUGCCGAAAUGUCACUAAAAACGCAUUGGUAUGCGUAAAGUCAUCAAAUCUAGAUUGUACGUAACCCUCCAUAGAGAAAAAAACAAGUCCAUUAUAAGAAUUUGAGACGUGAAAUAUACAAUACAUACCAACCUUAUAAUACAAGGUCGUGCACAUGAAAAAAAACCGAGUGCACAAACACACAAAAAUACUUUUGUUUGAGAUUAAUUUAAUUAGUUUAAAUUUGCAAUGCAACAUCAAAAUGGAACAACAAACAAUGAUUUCAAACUCCAGUUUUGAUAAUAUCACAAAUAAAUCUCAAACUAACAUGUCCUUCAAUGGAUUUAAGAAGAAAAUCCAUUACCAAUAUCAUGAAUACAUAAAUCUUUAUUCAAUUCAAACCCCAUACAUUUACUUGAGAAAUAUAACAUUUGAAAGGACCAAACUAUUAGAAGUUCGAUACAUUCUGCCGGUAAAAGAACAGUCCAGAUGGGGGCGUGGCCAUCCCAUCCGGCAGCAUUGCCAGCUUCAACAAACUAUCUGCACCCUCUUCAACAGUCAAUGAACCAGUAUUGGCAUUUAUAUCAGUUUUCACAUAUCCAGGACACACGCAGUUGAUGUAGAAAUUAGGGUAUUUUUUGGCAAUAAUUCUUGUAUAGGCAUUAAUGGCAGACUUCGACAAUCUGUAUGCAGGUACAUGUUCCGGCCAGCCAUUGACUUUCAAUGAGUUUUCUUUGAAGUCUUGAAGAAACUUGUUGAGCACAUUAUCUACUUUAUCUUCUGUGAGUUCUUCUGCAUUGCUUAGCACUUGUUUUGCCCAUUCAUUGGACUGAAACUGGAUGUGGGAUCAUGAGAAAUAGCAUAUGUCAGGUUCUUGAAGAGUUGUGUUCUGUUCCAAAAUUCAAGUUUUUAUAAUCCCCUAAAUUAUCUUAGGUUGGCUCACCCUUAAUUACUAAAAGUAAGGUCACUUUAUACAAAAUUUUUAAAAACGCGGUUCUUUUUAAUUUUCUUCACUAUUUUGGUCAUCCGAAAUUCUUUUUCCACAGAAGUAAAUAACUUUUACCUUCAAUAUACCCAUGAGAGAAGACACAUUCACAAUCCUUGGCGUAUCAGACAACCUUAAGAGUGGAAUAAAUGCUUCAAUCAUUCUCUUUGUACCAUAAUAGUUAGUUUGCAAACAUUGUUCUGCCCAUUCAUAUGUCUGAACAAGUUUUCCAUUUGCUGCGAUAUGAGCUUCUUGUGGCUGCAUUAUUGAAGAAAGAAAAUCUGUUAUUGAAAUGAUCCUGCCUUUAAGUUCUAUAAAUUAGUGGUCGACUGCAUAAAUCUCUCUUCACUACUGCGUAAACUACUCAAAGAUCCAAAUGGACUGUACCUUUUAAAACUACAAUGAUCAUGUUAGUUUUGGUUUACCAUUUCCUCUUUUAACCUAUUGUAUUGAUAGCAGCAUAAGAGCCUAUUUAGGUAUAUACAAGACACAUCUCAAACACAUAAUUUGUCAAUUUCUUAACCUGUUAUUCUGUGUAAUAUCAUAACUUUUCUUUAAUUUUACAAAGCAAAUAAAAAAAACAAAAAAUGUCCCGACUGCUUUAGUCUACUAUUUCUUAUCUUAUCUAUUUUACCAUGAUCACACAUGCAUCCAUUAUAACAUCCUCAUUUAGUCAUUUACUUCCUCCAAACAUUCUAGUUUCUAUGAAAACAUGUUAACAUUUUGAAUCAAAAAACUCAAUAGGAAUAACAAUUGAAGUGAUUUCCAUAUUCUAUGAAAAGGUGAUAUAUCUCCCUGCAUACAGACUUUUUCAUGUACGAACAAUUAACUUGUUCGGUAGACUGACUUUAUAGCACUCAACAAUAUAAAGAAAUAGAAAGAAGUUAAAAAUUUCGUCAAUUAUAAUGUCUGAUCGUCUUGUAUUAUGUUUGUCUUAAAGUGUCAUUAGCAGUAAACAUUUUAUUCACAACUAAUAGUAUUCAAUUUCACCUGAAGUUUUCAGUUGAGUGAUGAAAUAAAUAUAGUACAAAGAGUCAAAGACCAACCUUGGUGUCAUCAGGAAUUGAAACUACAUCUGCCUCAAUUAUAUCUUUAAUAACUAAGACAUCUCCCUCUAUACUUACUCCAAUCAUACCAGCAUUAUUCACCUGCAAAAUUUUCAGAUUUUUUAAAAUAACGGUUCAUAAUAAAAAAACUAAUUGUAGGAACAGGCUUUAACUAUCUCAUCUAAAAAUUGAUUAAUAUCAAGUGAGGUGAAGCUAAACCUUUUAUGGCAUUCGGUGAUCAUCAUUUGAGUGAUCAAGUCCACGAGCUUAAAAGCAGCAUUAUUGCUUCCCCACAUUAAUUAAUAAAGAAAGAUGAACAAUUCUUAAUUUUAUAAUAUGAGAAAAAAUCUCAACUAUGUUGAAAUGUAGUUCAGAGUGAACUAUUCUACUACUUAGCUACUCAGGAACAGUAGGUGAUUUCUUAAGCAUGCAUUGGAUCCACAUUGGUUGCAUAAUGAAUAGCUAGAAGUGUUAAAUGAGCUGACUUUGUAGAGGCCCAGCCCGGCCCCUAUUUUAUGGCAGCCAAUUUUGUCCAAAAAAUCGAGGUCAGGAGAUUUUUUCUUUCUUUUUUCUACCAUAAUAUGGGAUGUAACUAAGCUUGUUAUAUAAAAUUUCGCUACUUUUUUGAGGUUGGCUAGAUGAAAACUUUUUUGCUCCUCCAUAUCUUCUCGAAGUCUAAAAACAACAAGUAUAGCCACUUCCGCAGGCUAUGUUACUUUUAAUCUACCUGUCCCUAUUUUGACGUUUUCCCCGAAAUUCUAUCAUCCUUAUAGAAUAGAUUAACCAAUAAACACAAAAAAAUUGGGCCAAAAAAAAUAAAAAAGGACAAAAUUUAGAAAAUAAAAAACAUUGAAAAAAGAAGAAAAAUUCAUACCAAAAUAUCAAGCUUCCCAUAAAUGUUUUUGAUGAAAUUGGCAAGGGAAGCAAUACUAGUUGGAUCCAUUACAUCAAGUUGAUGAAACACAACAUUUUCAGAGAGAGCAAAGCCUUUGAGCUUUUCUAGAGCUUCAUUGCCUCUCUUCUCAUCUCUGGCUGUCAAAACCACAAUGACUCCUUUACAUGCCAACUGCCUACAUAGCUCAAACCCUAUUCCUUUAUUUGCCCCUGUCACAACUGCAUACCUAGAUAAAUAAAAAGAUGAAAACGGUAAGGGCUUGUUAGAUGAACAAUAUCAAGUAUAUCAAAUAAGAUUAGACAAUACGAUAGACAUGAUUUUUUUUAUUUUUUUCCCUUAAUACUAUCUAAUCUUGUUUGGUACUAGGAAUGUCAACGAGUUGAAUCAAACCAACUUGUGAAUCGAAGUAAAAUUAAGACGGAUUUUUUUUGUCCAAGUUGAGCAAAAGCUCGACGAAAAACUCGAGGCUCGACUGAGCUUUCGGCUCGGGCCUUACCGAGUCGAGUAGGCUCAAUUUUUUUUAUAUGACUGGCAACACAUAUUGCCUUUUUAAAGGCACCUCUCUAUUGCCUUUUUUUUUUUAACGAGCCAGCUCGGGGCUCAGCUCGAUACCCAAAAUGAGGGCUCAGGUUGAGCCUCGAGUUGGGCUAGAUCAGGCUUUUUCCCAAUCGAGCCAUGGGCAGCCUGAGCCGCGAGAGCUAAAUUGCCAUCUCUAUCUGGUACUGAGUAUCAAAAUUGCCACACAACCAUUUGGGUAUGAACUCAUUAGUAUUUAUGUUGGGAUGGAAUCUCCAAGAAAGUUACCAAGAUCAAUGGAGCGAGCUCAAGCAAUUUGGGUACUGUAGGAAAAACUCUUACAAUAACUGUUCUAUUAGUUAGUAGAAAGAGGGGAAAAUGUUCUAAAAUUGUGGCCUUGUAUAAAUAUAGGACCUUAGGCAAUGUCUCACCUGCCUAAGGGUUGAGCCCAGAGCCGGUCUUGUGCCGAGGCUAACGAGGCUGCGCUUCAGGCCCAGAAUUCGAAGGGGCCUCAUUUUGGCCAGAGAAGCUUAAUAUUACUCUCUCUUUUAUAUAUAUAUAUAUAUAUAUAUACACACACACACACACACAAACAAAAGACAAGUCACUCCUACCUACUCCACUUCAAAAAUUAUACUGCCAAUUUAACUUUGAACUGCGGUCCAUAAACAUGUUUUUAAUCAAAUGCUUCAUUUUCCAUAAUGGAGACAAGAACUUCAUUGUAAGAUUCUUAUUUUUUAAUUAAAAUUAUAAGAUUAUUAAUUUAUUUUGAAUAUAUUGAGACCAUUAUUGGUGAACAGGAUUUGACAUUUUUUUAACUUUUUUGAAGGAUUUAACAAGAUACGGUCUUACCAUAAUGUUUAAUGUAUAUUAAGUCUUCAUUGCAUACAUUGUAUGAAGUCUUCCAUCAACAUUGUAAAUUUUGCACACGUUUGGUGUAUCUAAAAAAGUUAAUAAAAAUUAACAAUUUAUUUUAACUAUAUAUUCAUGAGACCCGUAGUUUUUAUCAACUUUUCAACCACAUAUUUAGUCAAGUUUUAUCAAAAUCUAAAUUUAGUUUAAGUCAGUGGCUCCUAAUUCGUCUUUUACAGAUACGAAUCACUAAAUCAGAGUUUAGUGUGUCCAGACUCAUAAAAAAAAAUUAGUCAGUUCUUACUUUUCCGCCUUACUAAGAAUUCAUACCAAAAUAUCAAGCUUCCUAUAAAUGUUUGUUAUGAAAUUGGCAAGGGAAGCAAUACUAGUUGGAUCCAUCACAUCAAGUUGAUGAAACACAACAUUCUCAGAGAGACCAAAGCCUUUGAGCUUUUCUAAAUCUUCAUUUCCUCUCUUGUCAUCUAUGUAUUCAGUAGUACUGCUGUUGGGACAAAAUCUCCAAGAAAGGUACCAAGAUCAACGGAGUGAGAUCAAGCAAUUUGGGUACUUGGGAAAAAAACUCUGAUGAUACCUUUCUAUUAAUAAGUAGAAAGUGUAAAGAAAUAAAACUAGUAUCAAAGCCUCUAAAAUUUGUGGCCUUAUAUAAUAUAGGAUUUGAGGCAAUGUCUCACCUGCCUAAGGGUUGAGCCACCUUUAAAUCAGGAUGUGAAGAUGAGUUCAAGAAAACAAAGGGUUCGCAGCCUAAACUUUCGACAUCAUGGAUAAUUUUCUUUUCUAAUACAUGGAUUUUAUUUUCAUUAAUCCAUAUAUACUUGGAACAAUGAAAUACUAUUACUUCUCCUCCAAGAGGUAAAUGAUUGAUUACAAAUGUCUAUUAUAUAUCUUCUCUAUAGAGAGAACAAAAUUGGAGUGCAUACCAAUACCUAAUAUGGGCAAAAAAAUAGAUCAGAAGAAGUAACUCUCAGAUCAAUAAUAAUAAUAAUAAUAAUAAUAAUAAUAAUAAUAAUAAUAAUAAAGGAUUUUGGAGUGGUUUGACUGACCAAACUACGGUGGAAUAUUUUCAAGAUGUUAAUGAAUAAAACAUAUUUCUAUUUAUCGACAACAUCUUCCAGUUCAUAGCUACAUCAGGCUUAGUAACUUGAUUGAAAGCAAGUUAAUUUACCUGUUUGACGACUGAUUGUUCAUUGUUUCUGCACUUUCACUCCUCUUCUGCUCAGUUUGAAGAUUAGUACUAAAUAUAUAUUAAUAUAGACAAAAGGCAAGUAACUUCCACCUAGCUACUCCAUUUCAAACAUAUACUGCCAAAUCAACUUUUAGUUGUGGUCCAUAAACGUGUUUCUACUCAAGCGUUUUUAUAAGACCAUUAUUGGUGCACGGUAUUUGACAUUUUUUAAGAAGAAUUAAUUUCUUUUCCUUCUUUCUGAAAGAAGGAUUUAACAAUAUUAAAUUAGAAACACUUUUUCAUAAAUUCUAUCCUAAAUUUGAGCAUAUCUGAUAGUUAUAAGUACUUAUAAGUUGUGGAUUGGAUAGUAAAUCGAGAAUCCUUUGAAAUCAAGAAAAAAUAUAUAAUAAAAUGAUAUUAUAUGCCCAUGCGAUAAGACUAACAAUUUAAAUAGUGCCACCUCAUACCUUGUAUGAUUCAAAUUAUGACAUCUCCUCAUCCAAAGUAGUAAGAGAAAUAAAUGAAGUAGACCUCAUAUGCCAAUGUAUCAUGACUUAAAUGGUUCAGGUCUAAGGUGUCAUGAUCAACUAAACAGUCUUACCAUGUGCCUACGGGACCAUCCUCUUCAAAAUGCAUAAAUAAAAACUAAAAGUUUGACCGGUUCAAAUUAUAAUUUAAGCCUUGUAAAAUAUGCACUAUUUUUAUAUAGGAUUUUGCUAUGUAGAAACUUGGGCAAAAGUGCCCUCACAAUAGGGGGCUAGCAAUUUUUUAUUGAGCGUGAGCCCCCUAUUGUGAGGGGGGACACCAAGAUGUCAAUUCCAAUGUACAAAUAGCAAAUCUCUUUUAUAUUAUUUUUGGAAUUUUUCUUUUGCAGUUAGAGGAAUCCAAAAACAGCUACCAUCCUUGACUCGCAAACUCUAUGGGGCCUAUCAACUUGGGUUCCAAGUUGUAAAAGAGCUAAAGAGGCACAAAGAACUUCAAAUAGAGUAGUUAAACUAGAAUCAAAUUUUAUUACCACUCAAAAGUGGAGCUUGGUUCAACAAGUGCUUGUUUGAAUCAGAUCUGUAUGGUCUAGGCUGGUUUCACAAUAGUACUUUGAACUUGGUAACAAUCAAUAAUCCUGAUGAUAUUGAUGUACAAACUAAAAUUCAAGAAGAAGCCCAACAGAAGAUGAUGGAAGCACUUCUUAAUUCCAAGGAUUCGGAUUCGGAUUUCCAAUUCAAAACACACAAGGAGGGGGGGGGGGGGGGGCANNNNNACAUCUCAAAAAAAAAAAAACAGAGGGGGGGGGGGGGGGGGGGGGGGAGCCUAGUGUUUGUCACAGAAGUUUGCUCCAAAGAUCUUCUAAACGAUAUUUUCUUGGCUCAGUUUCACGUUACCUUUCUCCACCGAACAACCAAUCCAAAACCAAUAUUUAUUUCGAUUGCUUUUCAAUUUCACCCAUAAAGUAGAAAAUAAUGAUUUUGACUUGUAGCCAUGGAGGCAAGAAGAAAAACCAAUGAAAAAGGCACAAGAGGAGAUCAAAAACACAAAGAAGCCACCGAUUUUUGGAAGCACAAAGCAGCCAUAUUUUUCCGGUCAAUUGGCAGCCAAGUUUUUCACUUUUCACACACAAAUCACUCAAAUGAAUGGCUAGGUCAAAGUAGGAGUGGGCAUUUUUUCCCGGAACCAGUGGAACCGGACCGGAACAGUUUAGAACCGGCCGGUUCGGUUCCGGAUCUUCUAAAAAAUAAUUUGGUUUCGGGAAAAAUUAUUAAAAACCGAUCGGUUCCAGUCCGGUUCUUGGUUCUAGUAUGGGAACCGCGGAGAAUCGAAUGGUUCUCAUAGAAUUUUUUUUAGUGGGCAUUUUUUCUUUUUUGGUAAAAUAUAAGACUUACUCUCAAAUUUGUCCCGAAACCAAAUUGGUAAUAUAUAUGACUUACUCUUAAAGUGAAAAGAAACUUCCAUCAAGGUAAAACAAAAUUAAAAAAAAAAAUUGUAGUAUAACAACAUAAGCAAAAGGCAGUGACAUAUGGAAAUGAAACAAAUGUUUAUGUAUAUAGUUCACAUAUCACUUUUUAAUUAAAUAAUUGAGAAAAAUACUGAAUUGUGAUUACCUGAAGGCUCAAGAAAAUGUUAAAAAGGGAUCCUUCAGUUGGCAUUUUUUUCAGUAAAAUAUAUGACUUACUCUCCAAGCACUUUUAUUUUGUUUUCAUUUUGAUGAAAGUUUGUUUAAUCAUUGAAGUACUAGACGGUUUAUAUAAGUUAAUAUUUGUUUGAUAAUAGUAACUUAUAUUAUUUGCAUAUUAUUUUAAAAUUUAUAUACUUAGUUUUCUAUUAAUCUUUGUAUAAUAUGUUCGGCUCUUCUAUAUUUUUUUUAAAGUAUCACAUUGAAAGUUUCUUUAGAUUUUUUAUUAGUAAACAUUUUAUUUUGACAUCUUUAUGUAAAGAACCGGACCGGACCGGACCGGAACCGAUUGGUUCGGUUUCGGUUCGGUUCCAUAGCUAACAAUGGAACCAAUGGUUCCAUUUCUAAAAUUCUCAUUGGUAUUCGGUUCGGUUCGAUUCCUUUUAGAACUGGACCAAAUCGGACCGCGCCCACUCCUAGGCCAAAGCUACAUAUUUGGGAAUAGGUUAGACUUUAAUUGGAUCAAUAAAAGGGUAAAAUGAGCCAAGAUCAAAAGCCAUCCAAUAAGUAAAUAUAUAUGGGCCAUAAGCAGUGUUAAUUUCUUAAACUACUUUCAACUAUCAACGUUGUUUUCUAAUCGAGCCUUUAGACUUGAUUGUUGGUAAUCAAUUCAUUAUUGGCCGAGGCUUGUGAAACUAUAUUUCGAUGUUUACAUCAUAACCCAAGAUUUAUUGGAUAUAAAAAAUUCAACAGUGUUGCCCGGCAUAAUGUGCCAUUAAUAAACAAUGUGGACGCGGAGAGGCAAAGAAGAGACACUACUAGAAAGGGAGGCAAUAGAGACGAAAUUUUAGCAACAAACAUCUUCCGUAGCUACUACCAACGGAUUAAUAACAAAUUCGCAACGAGUCAUUAUUUUAUCAUUUUUAAAAAUUAUCUAUUAAAUUAUUGACAAAAUUACCAAUGAAAGUCUUCCGUUGGUAAAAUUACGUUGCUAAUCCGUUGGUAAAAAUAUAAAAAAAUAAAAUAAAAUAAAAUAAUUUAUCAACGAAUUGUCCAACGGAUGAUUCCGUUGGAAACUAUAUAUAACAGACUAAAAUAAUUACCAAUAGAAAAAUUAAAUCCUAUAUCUAUUUACCCUUCUCUUAGAGGGGCUUUGAAAAAAAUUGUUGCUAUUUAGAUGAGGACCAAAUGAAACAUUCUGUUCACCGCCAAUAAGAACCCUUGCUCCUCAAAACUCCCCCCUCUCUCGACCACCGAAGAAAACCCUACCUCACUCAGAUUUUGAAACCGAAACCCGACCCGUCGAAGGAGAGAUCCGCCUGAAGCACACCAUUCUGUCCUAACGAGGCACUGAGUUUGUAUCAAAACAUUAUACGAGCUACCGACUUCUUCAUGUGGCCGAAAUCUCCAGGUGUCCUCUGGCGCGAUGUAUUGACAGAGAAUGCUCGAAAGGAGUUCGAAGACGCCCGAUUUGAGAAGGAUCUGGAAAUUGUCGCUCCUCUGAUGUUUGGAGGGCCGGAUGUCUGCAGUCAGCUGUUGAUAAGCUUGUCAAGAAGCAAAAGCAGCAAAUUUAGGAUGAAAGCAAUGAAUCAAAUCGACGUUGAAGUUUUUUGGUAAUAAUUGAAUUAAAUUUUGAUUAUUUUGUUGAUUAAUUUUAGUGUCGAUUGAUUUUAUAUUCUUUACCUUAUUUUAUCUGAAAAUAUAGAUGCAGUCAUUUGUAAUAUUUUAGUUGUGAAAAUUUAAGCCUUAUGCGAGAACGGUGGGAGUCCGGUUACAGAAUUGGGGAUUUUUUGGAAGAAUCAUUUUUUAUUUUUUACUUUUUUUAUUUGGUUUGUAAAUUUGAUAUUCUGUGCUAGUUGCUAUUCUAAAAUUUGCUCUGUUAUUUGCAUUUAUAUAUUUGUUCUCAUUGUCCUGAUCAUUUCUUAAGGGAUGAAUACUGUCCCACUUGUAGAAUAAGGAUAUAUUUGUGUUCGAUUAGAACAUCACAACUUAAUUAUGUAUUUGCUAGGCUUGGAAAUCUUGGGUUUUCCAAGCAUUUUUCAGACUUGUCGUUUCCUUCUCAAUGGUACAUACAUUUUUGGAAGUCCUGCUGCUAAUGAUUGACUGAAUUUGGAGGAUGAAAAAUCUGUCACUACCAGUGAUCUUUGAUAUACCGAUGUGUAGUUCGAGAGAAUGUAUUUAUAGCAUUAUAUAAACGCCUUUAUGUAUACAUAUGAAUUUAAUUCUUGUUUAUUAUAUAUAUGUUAUGGAAUAUGGAUGGAUCAUGCCAGAAUGGUAGUGUGGAUUUAUUCUUGCGAAACUAAAAUCUUGGGAAGACUCUUGGCAUCAGUUCAUUUUGUAAAGUUCAAAUUGCCGAACAUACAUUGACAGGGCACGGAGUUGCUGUCAAGAUCCUUAAUAAUACAUAAGAAACUGCUGCAACUUUAAGCUGUUGGUUCAAUGCUUUAGAAGGAGAGAAUUAUUCUUGAUGUCGUGUAGAUUUUACACCUUAAUGGAUGGAAGUUGAAUGCCCCAAAGGUAUCUCAGGUACAGUAAUCUGAGACAUGAGUGGACGAAGAGAGGAAUUUCAUUAAGGUUCAUUCACCAGAAUCAUUAACAUUCACUCACCAUUUGGUUGGUCCUUAGGGAUUGGCAAAACUCAGGUAAUAAUAAUGUUGGCUUCCAUGUCUGCAUAUGUUUAUUUUAUAUAUUAUUGACAACUAUUUUUCUCAAAAUUUAUUCUUAUCCUGUUUGCUGUAAGUUUCCCUAAUCCCUAGGUCCAUCAGUAGAAUGAUUGUAUUUUGAUUUUAUACAUUAGUUUUUGCUGGAGUUGCAUUCCACUUAAACUCAGAUAAAAUAUAUUCGUGGGGUUAUUGGUUUGGAAGGAUCAGUUUUUUGUUGUCCAAUCCUUCAUAAUAGAUUAUUGUGCAUUAAGCAAAUGAUGAGCUGGCAACAUAGGAAAAAUUUGAUGCCUUCAUCUUACUUUCUCAGAUCAGAUGAAGAACUAGAGAAACGAGAAAUUUAGGCCGUCUCGAGCAAGAUUUCUUUGAUAGGUUACUUUUAAGGCUGCUUAUCUUUACGUUGUCGAAUUACUUAUGAAUGUUACUGUCAGUUCAAUGUCAAACCUGCUCCAUGUUUCUACUGUAGGGAUUUGGAUGAUCAAUUUUUAGGCAGUUUUACGUAUCAAAAAAAAACUUCUUAGGCAGUUUUACCGUUCAAAAUUGGUUGUUGUGUAUUUGAGCUCAUAAUGACUUGGCAGCAUUGGACAACUUUGAUGCAUUCUCCUUACUUCUUUGAAUCAGAUGAAGAACUAGAGAAGCAAGAAAUUCUGGUCAUCCCAAUUAAAUACACCCCUACCUUACGGUGAUAAAACUAUAAUCCAUCUCCUUUGCAUCACAUUUUGUAGAAAGACCACCAUCCUAGUUCAGUCCCUUUUCUAUAUAAUUCUAAUAAUAUAUGUCUCAUGUUGAUGUUAUAAAGUUUUUUGAUGAUGAUUAAAAGAAACUUGAAAGUUUUUUUUAUCAAUAUCCGCUUCUCCAAUUCCUGCCACCAGUCUAGGUCAAGUGUACAAAGCUCGGUUGAAGUACUCUGGCCAGGUUGUUGCUGUGAAGGUGCAAAGACUUGGUAUUGAAGAAGAUUUAGGGCUGGACUUUUAUCUUACAAGAGGUUUAGGUUUCCUUAUAUAUAAGCCCUUGUUUGAUCCCCAUUCUUUGGAAAAAAUGAAUUCUUCAACAGUGUUUUGAUAUAAUUUUAACCAUACAUUUUUCAAUAAAAUAAUAUUACAAGCAAAUUCCAAACGUUUUAUUAUUUUUUAACCACACAUUUCACAUCAAUACACUAUUCAAAAAUUCAUUUUUCCCUUCAAUAUGAAAUUAUCUUCUUUAAAAUUAUGUGCACAAUAAUUGUAUAAAUAUUGUGACUUGUUUUACCUCAAAAGAUGAAAAAUAAGUUAGACAUAGUGUUAAUCAUCAUAGAGUCCAAUAGGGCAUAUAAAUACUUUCAUAUUUACUGGACUUCAACAAUUAAAAAUUGGGUUUAUUUAUUUACUUAAACUAUGUCUUUGAUGCAUUCCAUCACAUGCAAAUAAGAGGUGUUUUUUUUGUUUUUGUUUUUUUUAAUAAACCACAUUACUGUAUUUUAUUAAUAUAACGGCGAAAAAAGAUAGUACGAUUGGUAGAAGGAUAUUAACCAAAGAUCCAACAAAAGAAGAGAAAAGAUUUCCAUUCGGAGACGGAAAUAAAAUGAAACAUAAUAAGUAAGUCAAUGAAACUCAUGAGGGUGCAUCCCUAGUGUAGUUAUCAUAGAUCCUGUCUUCAUAGACAGAGGAGAUAUAGAAAGUGUAUCGUGCACGAUUCAUAAGAUUCUAUAGUAUAUUAUUUCAUGUAACCUGCCUCUCCCAUGACUUUUCGGACCAACCAACCAAGUCUUGUGCAAUACGUCUAUGUCAUAAUCAUUAUAAUGCUCUAGGUCACUAGCAGAGUGGAGGGCUCGCGUCUAGGGAAAGGGGCCAUUAGAUGGCAAGUGGAAAGGUGACUACGACAUAUCGCGUCUGGCUGAAUUUGCAAGCAAAUUUGUAUGCGCAUUGAGAAGCAGAAUUCUAUUAACUUCGAUAUUUGCUGUACAAUCACCUAAGGACAUAUCGUCAUGUCACUAAAAAUGUCUGAAAACCUUGUCUAUAGAGAUUUGGGACUCGAGAUGGUAGGCUCAAGUGAUGAGGACUUUUCAGACUGUUUAGAAUAGAUACCAAAUCAUUAAGAGCAAAUCGAAGGUAGGUUUCACCUUCAUUCGAUGUUGAAUUAAUCGAUUAGUGUAUGCUUGAGACCAACCUUUUCACCACCAGUAGUGUCCAUAAUAUCCUUGUCAAAGUAAUUUUAUAUGUUAAAUACAGACAAUUUUACACAUUGGUGAAUGUGGAACCCGAACUCAAAUUUUUUGCAUACUUUAAUGUCAUAUUGAAUUCUUUGACAAGAUUAAACUUUUAAACAAAUAGAUAUGCAAUUAUUUAUUUAUUUAAAUUAAAUCAUCAACAAACAUAUGGAAAUUAUUUUCCUAUCAUUGAUUGUUACUAUGUUGUUGUCUUGAAAUAUACGGUGGCCCAACUAAAAUGUUUGUUUUUUGGAUUGAUAGAGAAACAUCAGUCACUUGGCUCAUUCCGAUGACAGUCCUCGUAACCAUAGUUUUGGAAGAAGUGAUAGAGACAAGACACCUUUUUUAGCUUCGCACGAUGGUCGUGUUUUGUAAAUAUAAGUGAUUAAAUUUAUCAAUUUUGUUCAAUUCAAUAUUCGAAGCAUUUAUAAGUUUGAUAUCAUGUAUCCUCGAGUUGGCAUAGAAUUUUUCUCCACUAUGCAUUGAGAAAAAAACAAGUGAAGAGUUUGAUAGGAAUUUAAUUAUAAAUUUAGAUAUUUUUCAAUCAGUAAUUAUUGUUUAGUCAAAAAAAUUGAAGUUGAAACUUAAUAUUGAUUAGUGAACUGAUUCUUCUCAAGACGAUUUUGUCAAAUCACAUAAAUUUGUAUAUUUUUUUCUAUUAAAUUUUAUUCCAAUUAUAAUGUAGCAAUAAUAAAAUUCCUAUUUCUAUGAUACUAACAUGUGUAUUUUGUCAUGAAAAGAGAGCGUCUUAAGUAGGCUUUGGCACAUUCUCUUAGUAAACUAGCUAUCUGAACAAGUGUGUGUGAUAUGCUACUCCAUAUUAACCUCCUGAAUGGCGAUUUUUAUAACUAGACACUUUGAUUAAACAAUUAAUUUUCUUCUAUAAAUUUGUGUUCUCUUUCUUAGUUUUCCUUUUGUGCAUAUUAUCCAGUGUCGGCUGUUUUCUUGACAAUUUAUUAACAAAAAAAAAAAAAAAUUGACAAAUAACUACACAACAAUAUUUUUCUAAAAAAAUUGUAUUUUCUAAAAUUAAAACCAAUAUUUCUGAUAUUACAACAAAUCUCUACUAAACCUUGCAUCCUGCACUCAUCAUUAAUCUAAAAUCUUCAAAAUUUACAAAUCCAUCACCAUCUUUAUCUACCCCUUUGAUCAUUGAAUGACAGUCUCUAAGACUGCAUUUUCCACAUCCAAGACAUUUAAAAACCCUCUGCAAAUCUUCAGCAGAAAUUAAUCCAUUUUUAUCAGCAUCAAAUACACCAAAAGCUCCCAUUAUAUCAAUCCCAAUAGCAUCAUUAUCAAGUUCCAUGGCAUUCAAGAAUUCUUGUAAAUCAACAAAACCAUCUCCAUUAUUAUCCAUCUCUCUUACCAUUCCUUCGGCUUCUUUGUUGGCGAUUUUCUUGUCAUUUCCGAAGUUGAGCAGCACGUCUUCUAGCUCGAAACUUGAUAUGUUCCGGAUCCAAGAAGAAACCCUAAUCUCAUUAAGAUUUCAGAUGAUGAAAAUUAUAAUAUAAGAAUUAGCAAUGAAUAUAGAAAUAAAAGUAAAAAUAAGAAAUUUGUUGUAAAUGGUAAGUUUAUUGGUGAAUUGACAAUUGUAAUUCUAUAACCUUAAAAAUUAUUAUCAUUAUAUCCUUAAUCAUUCUCUAUAAAUAUGUUGCUUUGGUUAUCCAUAAAACACAUACAAGUCUAUUGACUCAUAUUUUCUCUUAUCUUUUUCUCUUUUUUUUUGUAACACGUUAUUAUCACGAAAACUUAAUUCUUCAAAAUCUAGUCAAAUAGUUGUUCAUAGGACAAAUAGGUAGGCCACUCCCUUCGUCGUCUUCAUGUAAAGCAAGGAAAAAGAAUUCCUAGGGCUAAACAAUGAGAUGCAAUUCACAUCAUGAAUGUGCAAAAAAUGUUGUUCAUCGGAGUCAAAUAUGUAAGUGACUCCCUCACCCUUAUGCAUAAUGGGGGAAAAAACCCAAAUUUUUGAAUACUCUUAAAGUCGUGACCCAACAGGCAAAACAUUAUUGCACGACUCUCCAUAAAUGGAUAUUGUGAGAAAGUAAGGAUGCGUUUGGUUUAAAAUUUUUAGAAAUUAUUUUAUGACAUUUAUUCAAUUAAUUUGAUUAUUUAGUAAAUCAUAAUAAUUUUAUACUAAUAUAUUACUAGAUAAUAUAUAUUUUAAACUUGGUGAAUUUUACUAGUGAAAUCUUGAAAAAGUGCAUAUAAUAGAUAUAAAACAAAUUCAACAUUAACUCCAUACAACCUUUCUCAUGAAUUUCAGAAUGUUUUAGAAUUUUUUAAAUAAAUGUUUUUAUAAUUAAAAUUUUACCUUCUAUAAUCCAAGAUAUACAAAAUGAGACUUAACAUGUCCUUGACUUGACGGGCCAUGUGCCUUAGGAUAUUCAAAAAAAUAUGACACCAUCUGGCGUGUCACAUACAUGCCCCAUCGCAUUCAAGUCGUAUCUUUGUUUAAAAUGCAUUGUACACUGCAACCUACCCUAGGGAGCUUUAGUGCUUCACAACCAUCUGCUGAUCGGCCAUUAACAUAUAUUUGGAUUCUUAACAGCAAAAAAUAGAAGUGCGUGUCUUUAUUUCUCUUGAAAUCAUUUAUUAAUCCAUUCAUAGAAGAGUCGUUGUCUUGAUACUCAGUACUGUAGUCAUUUUCAAGCCAUUGCUACAAUACAUGCAAGCCCUGGAUCCUGUACAGUGGUUUAGAGAUAAUUUUCCUUUUCAAACAUAUAUCAAAAUUUGCCUUGACAAAGUGCUUCGUCAUGCACACUGGCAAUCUUCCUAGUGUUCCAUCACAAAAAUCAAUUUAAGUUCAAAAUUGAAUCAUCCAUUCCUAGUCCAUUUUACAAUAUUCAGAACAAUGCUGAGAACAUCACAACAGCACGACAGCAUACAAUGAUCUCUAAUUAAAUAUUAAAAAAUAAUUUUUUAAUUAUAUCGUUGAGAAAAUGUCGUUGAUUCCAAAAACAAAGUGGAGGAUCGAUAAUUAUAUCAUUGAGAAAACUACAUAAAGAUAAUUAUAUCUUUUGAGAUCAUUAAUUGGAGGUCGCCAACUUAGAUCACAGGCUUUCUUGAUAAUGAUAGCCAUUGACCCCUGUCCACUUAUAUCUUUUUGUAUAUAAAUCGCCUAAAUUUUGAGCCAACUUUAGAUCAGGUGUGUAAAGAUGAGAAAAUUAAUAGUUCUCAAUCUAAACUAAUUCCAACGAAAGAUUAACACAGCCAUCAUGGAAAAUUUUCUUUUCUACUACAGUCUAACACUCUUUUUCACUACGAUUAUGAAAACUAAAAUAUGGCUAAAUAAUUUAAUUGAAAGCAAGUUAUAAAUUUACCUAUUUGAUGACUGGUUGCUCAUUGUUUCUGCACUUUCACUCUUCUCUCUGCUCAUUUUGAAGCUUAAUGUUACUCUCUCUCUCUCUCUCUCUCUCUCUCUAUAUAUAUAUAUAUAUAUAAAAGACAAGUCACUCCUACCUAGUCCACUUCAAAAAUUAUACUGCCAAAUUAACUUUGAAGUGCGGUCCAGAAACAUGUUUUUAAUCAAAUGCUCUACAGUCUCCACAUUUUUUUCCAUAAUGGAGACAAGUACUUCAUUGUAAGAUUCUUAUUUUUUAAUUAACAUUAUAAGAUUAUUGGUUUAUUUUGAAUAUAAUGAGACCAUUAUUGGUGAACAGGAUUUGACAUUUUUUAACUUUUAUGAAGGAUUUAACAAGAUACAGUCUUACAAUAAUGUUUAAUGUGUAUUAAGUCUUCAUUGCAUACAUUAUAUGAAGUCUUCCGUUAACUUUGUAAAUUUUGCACAUGUUUUAAUCAUAUAUUUAUGAGACCCAUAAUUUUUAUCAACUUUUCAACCUCAUAUUUCAUCAAAUUUUAUCAAAAUCUAGAUUUUUUUUGUUAAAAAAUUCAGGAAAUUGAGAGAGUCAUGACUUUAUUACAGCUCUAAAGAACCUUCUUUCUGAUAAAAACAGCAACUUUGCUUGGUUUACAUCCCCUCAGCCCCUCAUCAUGUGAGGGGCUGUACACCAUGUAGAAGAUGGAGAUAUCAAUUGGUACACGAUAGUUUCUCUGCGCAUGAUAAAAUAUCUUUUCCAUUGCAUUAGUGUCCUCAUUGCAGCCUCAAUUUUAUUUUUAUUUUUUUUUCAUUUAUAGAUGAUGGAUCUCUUAUUUUCGGUGGAAAUUAAUUUGAUUUUCUUCAAUUAUAAUUUAUGAAAGUAAUGUGAGUGCUUUACGGUUGUUAGUCUUUUUUAUUUAACAAGUAGUGAGCACAUGCGUUGCACGUCUUAUAUAUCGGAUAAAUGAUAUGCAUAAUCUUGUUAAAACACUAAAAUUAUUUGAGAAAGUACUAAUACUAUCUUAAUUAAUAAUUUUUCUAAAUUUAUAAGAGAUUUAUAAAUUUUUUGAAUUGUCUGAGCAAGAAUUGUUGUAUUUAAUAUAUAAAUUUGCAAUUUUGUAUCACAUACCUCGAGAUAGCCCAUUUCAAUUUUCCUCUAUUGCUUCGACAUUCAUGAUGUAAUUCCUCAAUUUCGUAUGUUUAGACAAUAUUCUUGUUACCAUCUUCGAGUGAAAAGACCCACAAAAUCUAUAAAAAUAUACGACAAAUUAUGAAGAAAAAUGAUAAUACACUUUAUUUCGUCAAUUUUGUAGCUUUCAAGCCUUGCUCUAUACACCAAGCUACACAUCACCACUACUAAUAACUUAAUAAACAUUCAAUUUUAAGAAAUCAUUUAACAUUUACACGAAUGAUGAUAGAAAUCUAAAAUAUAGAAUGAAAUUACAAAUCAAAACAUAUAAAGAUUUGAACAAAAAAAAAAAGAUUUAUUAAUUUAACGUAACAAAAUUCACAUCUGAUUAGUUUGAAUAUAAAUAUGCCAAAUCAAAUUUAGAUAGUAAAGUAUGUAUAAAUGUGAAUAUUAGAGUACAAAAAUCAAGAGGGCACAUAGAAUUAAUACAAAAAGGAUAUUCAAGAAGCUCACGAACAUUGUUGGCUGGAUUAAUCACAAUUCCAUGGAAGAAGACUUGUGGUUCACCAAUUAGAAUGUGGGUUUCAUGAUCGUGGAAAUUAAAGUUUAAGAUAAUUGAAUUAACGCUAUUAAUCAAAUUAAAAAAUAUAUUAUCUUUAAUUUCUAUAAAUGGUUAUUUAAGGUCAUCCUUUGAGCUCCUUAAACAAUAUCAUUUUUCUUUAAUUUUAUUUUGAAUUAUAUAUAUAUAUAUAUAUAUAUAUAUAUAUAUAUUUUUUUUUAUUUUAUUUUUUAUUUAUUUAUUUAUUUAUUUUUAUCUUGAAAGGGGAAUUUGAGGCCAUUAUUUGAGUUCCUUAAAUAACACCUAUUUUUUAAUUUCAUGUUGAAUAAAUUGAAUUAAUACCAUUUAUAAAAAUUAAUGUAAGAUUUAAAAAAUUAAUUUAGAAAAUUAUUAACCUACUUGGUAUAUGCACUUGGCAUAUAAAUCAACCUAACUUCUUCUUACGGUUCAUUGUGGUCAAAAGUAUUAGAAUCUUAAAAGGUUAAGAAUUUAGAUGCUAUAAAUGGAAGUUGGAGACCAACUUGAUGCGAUGCUCCUAAGUUGAAAACUUUCUAGAAUUAUUGAUAUAUAUUUAUUUAACUUAAUUAUGACCUAAUAUUUGCAUGCAAUUGUCUAAAUAAUUAUUAAAAGAUUAGGUAGACGUGUAUAGCGGAUCAAUUUUUCUCAAGCUAAACAGUCAGCUUAGAGUCUGAAAAUUUGAUUUUUGAGCCUUUGGAGAUUGCUUACCGAAAUGUCACUAAAAAAGCAUUGGUAUACGUAAACUCAUCAAAUCUAGAUUGUACGUAACCCUCCAUAGAGAAAAGACAAGUCCAUUAUAAGAAUUUGAGAAGUGAAAUAUACAAUACAUACCAACCUUGUAAUACAAGGUAGUGCACAUGAAAAAAACAAACACAAACACACAAAAAUGCUUUUGUUUGAGAUUAAUUUAAUUAGUUAAAAUUUGCAAUGGAACAACAAACAACGAUUUCAAACUCCAGUUUUUAUAUCAUCACAAAGAAAUCUCAAAUUAACAUGUCCUUCACUCCUUCAAUGGAUUUAAGAAGAAAACCCAUUAUCAGUAUCAUGAAUACAUAAAUCUUUAUUCAAUUCAAACCCCAUACAGUUACUUGAGAAAUAUAACAAUUGAACGGACCAAACUAUCAGAAGGCCGAUACAUUCUGCCGGUAAAAGAACAGUCCAGAUGGGGGCGCGGCCCACCCAUCCGACAGCAUUGCCAGCUUCAACAGACUAUCUGCACCCUCUUCAACAGUCAAUGAACCAGUAUUGGCAGUCAUAUCAGUUUUCACAUAUCCAGGACACACGCAGUUGAUGUAGAAAUCAGGGUAUUUUUUAGCAAUAAUCCUUGUAUAGGCAUUAAUGGCAGACUUCGACAAUCUGUAUGCAGGUACAUGUUCUGGCCAGCCAUUAACUUUUAAUGAGUUUUCUUUGAAGUCUUGAAGAAACUUGUUGAGCACAUUAUCUACCUUAUCUUCUGUGAGUUCUUCUGCAUUGCUU
RNAcentral lists this long non-coding RNA (23415 nucleotides) under Olea europaea (common olive). RNAcentral describes it as "long non-coding RNA (OEUR_LNC015156)". The record is from RNAcentral. Lineage: Eukaryota; Viridiplantae; Streptophyta; Magnoliopsida; Lamiales; Oleaceae.